Long non-coding RNA from Hordeum vulgare subsp. vulgare (domesticated barley), 2685 nucleotides. RefSeq lists it as uncharacterized. The record is from RefSeq and is a predicted model, not a curated record. The transcript is spliced from 2 exons. NCBI's taxonomy places the organism in Eukaryota, Viridiplantae, Streptophyta, Magnoliopsida, Poales, Poaceae.
UGCGCGCCACCUGGAGCACCCCGGGCGUCCCAGCUCGCUGUUAUUAUCCCCUUUGGUAUCCUCUUCACCCGACACCCCCGCCAGCUAGCUCUACCUCCCCUGUCCAUCGUCAAAAGCUGCCGCCGUUGAGCUUAUCCUCUGAGCCCGACGAACCGAUCUUGGCCAGCUAUAAGAGGACGUCCCCGAGCUCUGAGAGCACCCCAUCGCCCUCCCUAGACCCGCAUCAAGUCCCCUAUAGCAGCCAAUUGACUGGAGCCGGUCUCCCUGCUCAACUCAGGCCGCAUCAUCCGCCGGCAACCUCUGGUCAUUUCUGGCGCAACCGAGCCCCUCCCGCUCCACCUUAGCCACCACUAGCUCUACCACGGCCCCUAUAAUCAACACCAUACCCAAUUUCAUCGGAAAUGAACCGUAGACAGAGUGCUUAGGACGCCGGAGGUUCCAUCCACCAUGGUUGGAAGUGUGAUCUUCCUCGAGCUCUUUGGCGACCCCUUGCCCUCGAGAGGAUGAGGCCCUUCCUCCUAAACGCGCCGGUGUACCCAACUCCGGGAAAGAUGCUUCCUAGAGCCGGCAAUCACCGUCAAUGUCGGCUCCUUCUCCCUGUCCGUGUGCACGAGGGAGGAAGACAAAACAGAUAGGUGCACCCCACGUGUCGGUGGGGCAGUGGAUCCCUCCGAUGGCACACCUGCGCUUGUGCAUUUCCAAUGUCAGAAAGCGAACUCCCAUAAGAAAAUUGGAGGGAAGAAUCCUUUCAAAGGUUUUGGAGUGCAUGCCACCAUUCUUCAUACCCAAGGCAAGCAUCUUGAACACUGAUUUGUCGUAAGCUGAGUGAUUGCUUGCUUAGAUGAAUGAUUGCAUGAUAUGUUAGUAAGAUAAAAGUUUUCAUAUUGGAAAUAUUUAUGCAUGAAUGCACGUGAUAUGUAUUUACUUCCUGUUGAGCAUAAAAUACUGAAGAUAGUGGGUACCGCCUCAUGCCACGUAUGCCUAUGCUAAUCCGGACAACCUCGAAGGAAGGUGUGUCGCAGGUAAAAGUGUGACCGUGAAAACUGAUAUCUCGUUGUGACGAGAGUGAUCAGUGGGGGCAUAUCGGGUUUGAUGGUAGUAACACUAUCAGAUAUCAUUCAGAAUUUUUUGGUGCUAACCAGGAAAACUUAAACCUCAUGAGUCGACCGUAGAUCGAAUCUCGUGCCAGUAACCCCCAUACUUGAUUUGUGCUACCACUUGUCCCUACCAUGGGUAGGUUACGGUUGAGUAAGUCAUCAACCCCUUUCGUUGCACCCACCAUACAGAGAGGCCAUAGUGAAAGAUACCACUAAUCACUGGUAGGCAUGUCACUUAGUCCGGGGGCAUGGGGUUUCCGGUGGGGUCGAGAGGGGGCACCCCUUAGUUGCGUGCGGUACAAAUUUGAUUCCAUGCUAAUAGAGAUUGUGAUCUCCCCACUUAGAGUUUUGCUUAACGGUUACUUGGGUGAUUACUUGUAUCAGGUAUUUAAGUUGGUGUGUGCGGGUCACGUGUGUUUUCAACUCAAAGACCAUAACUGGAAUUAGUUGACUUCUCUAGUUGACUAAAGAAAUUUGUUACUCGUGGGUAAAGAGUACACACUGUGCAGAGUUAAAUAUCUAUUCGAGUAGCCGUGUCUGCAGGUAAGGACUACAACUUGGGAUAGGUCAAGUGUCGGUUUGAGUGUUGGUCUUCACAGGAAUUAAUUGAAACAUGAUGGAUGAUUAUAAUUAUUAUGAAUCUUGCUGUGGACUAACCAUCUCUUGUAUAUGAAUUUGUUUUGAGUGUCCUUGGGAAGGUCUACCUCAUGGAUACUCGAUGUUAUUAUUAUAAUAUAAGCCCUUUAUGUGGAUCACUCAGAUGCCCAACUAUGGCAACUGUUAUUAUUUUCAUAUAAGCCCUUUAUGGGGCGUCACUCGGACGCCCGACUAUGACAACUCUUAUUAUUUUCAUAUAAGCCCUUUAUCUGGCGUCGCUCAGACGUCCGACUGUGCCAAUUGUUAUUAUUGUCAUGUAAGCCCUUUAUGUUGCAUUGCUCAGACACCUGACUGUGGCAACUGUUAUUAUUUCCAUAUAAGACAUUUAUGUGGCAUCGCUCAGACGCCCGAUUGAGGCACGUUUUAUAUUGUUAUCCUUUCGAGGUGUCUCUCAAGACGCCCGAUCGGCCCAUUUAUUCCUAUUGUUACUUACUCCCCUUGUUUUCUUAUACACACUGAGUAGGAAUGAUUUAUCUGCAUAGCUGCAUUCAUAAAUUAAAUCUUAUGACAUGUCCAGGCUAUUAAGAUUCUAGUUGCAUGCAUCUCACGUGCUUUUACUUAUCUGUUUUCAUGAUGUUUGUGAGUACAUUCAAAGUACUCACUCGCUUCUCCCUAGCUAUUGUCUUGGCCAGAUUGCGUUCUUGGAGAGGAGCAUGAUGACGUCAACCCUGGAACCCAAGAGUCAAUGAUAGCAUCCUUGCAACAUAGGAAUUAUCUAGGUCAACUGUUCCUGUGGGAAUGGAGUCCCAUGGACACUGGAGAUAUACGAGUCGCUUCCGCCGUCAGCCCCUAGACAUUUUGUACAACCCCAUGGACCUUCAUGGUUUUGUACCCCAAAUUUUUCAUUUUGCUUGGAGUUACUGUAUCAAGUGAGUGUCCACCAACUAAUAGUUAUCCUGGGGCUGGUGAACACAAAGCCUGUUACUGGGAA